AGUGAACGCUGGCGGUAGGCCUAACACAUGCAAGUCGAACGGCAGCACAGUAAGAGCUUGCUCUUACGGGUGGCGAGUGGCGGACGGGUGAGGAAUACAUCGGAAUCUACUUUUUCGUGGGGGAUAACGUAGGGAAACUUACGCUAAUACCGCAUACGACCUACGGGUGAAAGCAGGGGAUCUUCGUACCUUGCGCGAUCGAAUGAGCCGAUGUCGGAUUAGCUAGUUGGCGGGGUAAAGGCCCACCAAGGCGACGAUCCGUAGCUGGUCUGAGAGGAUGAUCAGCAACACUGGAACUGAGACACGGUCCAGACUCCUACGGGAGGCAGCAGUGGGGAAUAUUGGACAAUGGGCGCAAGCCUGAUCCAGCCAUACCGCGUGGGUGAAGAAGGCCUUCGGGUUGUAAAGCCCUUUUGUUGGGAAAGAAAAGCAGCAGGUUAAUACCCCGCUGUUCUGACGGUACCCAAAGAAUAAGCACCGGCUAACUUCGUG
RNAcentral lists this ribosomal RNA (492 nucleotides) under uncultured bacterium. RNAcentral's name for it is "partial 16S ribosomal RNA". It matches the Rfam family "Bacterial small subunit ribosomal RNA", at positions 29 to 507 of the family's 1533-position model. The record is from RNAcentral.